Molecule: ribosomal RNA, 439 nt
Filed under: uncultured bacterium
Lineage: Bacteria
Description: bacterial SSU rRNA
Rfam family: Bacterial small subunit ribosomal RNA
Source: RNAcentral
AUGGGAACGCGAAGAACCUUACCUACUCUUGACAUCCAGAGAACUUAGCAGAGAUGCUUUGGUGCCUUCGGGAACUCUGAGACAGGUGCUGCAUGGCUGUCGUCAGCUCGUGUUGUGAAAUGUUGGGUUAAGUCCCGCAACGAGCGCAACCCUUAUCCUUUGUUGCCAGCGGUUAGGCCGGGAACUCAAAGGAGACUGCCAGUGAUAAACUGGAGGAAGGUGGGGAUGACGUCAAGUCAUCAUGGCCCUUACGACCAGGGCUACACACGUGCUACAAUGGCAUAUACAAAGAGAAGCGACCUCGCGAGAGCAAGCGGACCUCAUAAAGUAUGUCGUAGUCCGGAUUGGAGUCUGCAACUCGACUCCAUGAAGUCGGAAUCGCUAGUAAUCGUAGAUCAGAAUGCUACGGUGAAUACGUUCCCGGGUCUUGUACACACCG